UUUUCAAAUACCGCUUAUGAACUCACCAACAUUUCAUAUGUUGACGUUUUUCAAAAUACUUGUAUUCUCAGGUAACAAGUGAACCGAAGGAAAAUGUACUCAGUGAUGGCUUGCAGUUUGUUUAUCUAUGAACCGAACAAUUUAUUUUUGGGAGUGUAACGCUAAAACAAUGUACUCAGUGUAAACUUUAUCAGUUGUUCUAUAUUAAUGCAUGGUGAUAAAUGAUGUUAUGUUACAUAUAUAUUCAAUGUUAUGGUAUUCAAUUAAGUCACGGCAGCCCUCGGACGUUUCCGCCGUCUGGUUCGGGGGUGUGACAGGUUGGUAUCAGAGCUUUGUUUAUAGUGAACUAGCAUAUCUAGCCACACAUUGAUAUGCAACUAUAAACCAAAAAGAGGGACUAACAUAACUCUGAACAAAAUGAGUAAAUAAAACAUCCUUGCUUGCAUUAGGAAUAAGAACAUAACACCGAACCAAACAAAAUAAUGCUAGUAUCUCGGUUAAUUCAGGACUGUUCUUAGUGGUACCAAGGAGUGGAUGUAGCCUGAUCAACUACAUUCUCUCCAAAGUACAACUAACACACGUUUUGAUGAGAUCGGAAUAGCUAGGGAACCUAAAACUAUACCCUUUUAGCACCAAAAAGAGAACGCCUGUUUAGCUUAUGCAAUAGUUGUGGCACCUUAGGAAUAAUGUUAGCGCAUUUACACACACUCGCAGACAGCAUGGCUGGUUUCCAUCAUCCCGGAGAUCCCUACUUCCCUAACCAGGGAAACAACGGAUGGCUAGAGGAGGAGGAGCGUGAGGAAGACCCCGAAGAGGAAUCUGACGCGGAACCGGAGGCAGGAGUCGAGGGCGAGCCUACCGAAUUAAAGGAAGAUGAAGGAAGCUUCGAAGAGGAAACUGAUGACAGUGAAGNNNNNNNNNNNNNNNNNNNNNNNNNNNNNNNNNNNNNNNNNNNNNNNNNNNNNNNNNNNNNNNNNNNNNNNNNNNNNNNNNNNNNNNNNNNNNNNNNNNNGUUAAAAAUGCUUUUCAUCAUUAAAAAGGACCAAAGUUGCGAAAAAUUUUCAAUUUGGGCCAAAAGUGUAAAAAUAGCGAAAAAGAGGGGUUACAACCAAGAAAACUGUACUUUCAGGGACUAAAACUGUUUUCAACUAAAAAUAAGCUGAAAAAUAUCAAUUUCAAUAAGUUUUGGUGCUAAAAUGUAAAGAAAAAUGGUUUAAGGACUAAACCAGAAAUUUAUUUAUUUAAAGGGUUGAAGAAGUAAAUUUACAACAAAAAGAGGGGCUGUAACAAAAAAGUUGAAAUGUUAAUUAAAUACAACCGUUGUGAUCAAACACUGGCACUACGACUACCGACGAAUUAUAUUACACAACAACACCAAAAAUCGUUAUCAAACGAAUUGAUUCGGUCUCGAAUCAAUAACAAACCCGAAACUACUAACACGACGAUAACUCGACUCAUACACGGAAAAUUUGGGAAAUCAUUACACAUGUGAGAGUGCACAAACGUCGAUGCACCACCUUUGGGCCUAAAAGUGUAAAAUCUUGUUUGUUGGGCCUAGCUAGCCCAAUGACUUGAUCUUUAGGCCCGAAGACUUCAACCUUACGAGUUGUUGGGUCUUACAUGAUCCAACACAACGUAAAAGGACUUUCAAUGGCUAUUAUACUAUUGGUCCCCAAGGGUCCUUUGGUACUGCUAGUAAAGUCAGUUAUGCAAAUGCGAAUCGGGUCAAGGGCCCUUCGCACUCUUUUUAUCCUCAAUCGACCAACGAAGUUAUCGAGGUCUUCGUGCCCUCUUUCUCCUCGGAUGUGGGACUACAAGAAGUCAGGGCGGUUGGAUUACGUGAAUAGUACGGACGACGCCUAGGGGAUCGUUAGUAUAGUUGUAAACUGGUCGUUUGUGUAACGCGUGUUUAUAGCAAUUCACCAUGCGCAAUAAUCCGACGUCGCCUGGAAUCAAUGACUUCACACGCCGUGAUGGUUCUACAACUACAUGGAAUUCAAAGUGUUAGGAAAACAUCGGGUUUUCCUAGGGUUUUUCAAUACAUACGGUUUUCUAAAUGUACACAAGUUCAAUGAACAAUUUUUACAACCAUAGAAAUAAACAAGCAUACUCAUGGAUCUUCACAAACAUUUUCAUAAACUCUUUUCAGAAUAUAUUGGAUUUUCUGGUAGUUUUUCAAAACAAUACAAAACGUUGCUUUUCAAAUACCGCUUAUGAACUCACCAACAUUUCAUAUGUUGACGUUUUUCAAAAUACUUGUAUUCUCAGGUAACAAGUGAACCGAAGGAAAAUGUACUCAGUGAUGGCUUGCAGUUUGUUUAUCUAUGAACCGAACAAUUUAUUUUUGGGAAUGUAACGCUAAAACAAUGUACUCAGUGUAAACUUUAUCAGUUGUUCUAUAUUAAUGCAUGGUGAUGAAUGAUGUUAUGUUUCAU
RNAcentral lists this long non-coding RNA (2435 nucleotides) under Lactuca sativa (garden lettuce). Its description in RNAcentral is "long non-coding RNA (LSAT_LNC005410)". The record is from RNAcentral. Lineage: Eukaryota; Viridiplantae; Streptophyta; Magnoliopsida; Asterales; Asteraceae.